UACGUAGGGUGCGAGCGUUAAUCGGAAUUACUGGGCGUAAAGCGUGCGCAGGCGGUUCGUUGUGUCGGUGGUGAAAUCCCCGGGCUUAACCUGGGAAUGGCCAUGGAAACUGGCGAACUGGAGUGCGGCAGAGGGGGGUGGAAUUCCGCGUGUAGCAGUGAAAUGCGUAGAGAUGUGGAGGAACACCGAUGGCGAAGGCAGCCCCCUGGGCUAGCACUGACGCUCAGGCACGAAAGCGUGGGGAGCAAACAGG
RNAcentral lists this ribosomal RNA (253 nucleotides) under uncultured bacterium. RNAcentral's name for it is "partial 16S ribosomal RNA". It matches the Rfam family "Bacterial small subunit ribosomal RNA", at positions 524 to 776 of the family's 1533-position model. The record is from RNAcentral.